AUGUAUGUCCCUUUUGAAGCUGUGCACUUGGUCAAUAGUACCAUUUUCUCCAAUAGAGGAGGACUGUUCUUCAGGUAAGAGUAUAGGAGUGGCUGAAAACUCAUGCAUGAAUCCCCAAACAAGCUUUCAAGGUGGGAUUUCACUCUGUAACCCAGGCUGGCCUCAAAGUCACAGUAAACUACCUGUUUCAGUUC
This 194-nucleotide small RNA is filed under the name Mus pahari (shrew mouse). RNAcentral's name for it is "sRNA (MGP_PahariEiJ_G0008029.1)". The record is from RNAcentral. Lineage: Eukaryota; Metazoa; Chordata; Mammalia; Rodentia; Muridae.